GGAUGUGAUGACAACUUGUUGACACCCAGUCUUAGUGCUCCUACGGUGCACACUGGUGAAUUAUUACUUGUCUGAUCC
RNAcentral lists this small nucleolar RNA (78 nucleotides) under Phaseolus vulgaris (common bean). Its description in RNAcentral is "Small nucleolar RNA U31b". It matches the Rfam family "Small nucleolar RNA U31b". Lineage: Eukaryota; Viridiplantae; Streptophyta; Magnoliopsida; Fabales; Fabaceae. The record is from Rfam by way of RNAcentral.